Molecule: transfer RNA, 96 nt
Organism: Penicillium steckii
Lineage: Eukaryota; Fungi; Ascomycota; Eurotiomycetes; Eurotiales; Aspergillaceae
Rfam family: tRNA
About the family: Transfer RNA (tRNA) molecules are approximately 80 nucleotides in length. Their secondary structure includes four short double-helical elements and three loops (D, anti-codon, and T loops).
Source: Rfam
GCGCGUUUGGCCGAGUGGUUAAGGCGGCAGAUUUAAGUUCUUUUUGCAAAAACCCUGCUGGGGAGACCCGCGCAGGUUCGAACCCUGCAGCGCGCA